This 223-nucleotide long non-coding RNA is filed under the name Hordeum vulgare. RNAcentral's name for it is "long non-coding RNA (HVUL_LNC012134)". The record is from RNAcentral. Lineage: Eukaryota; Viridiplantae; Streptophyta; Magnoliopsida; Poales; Poaceae.
AAAUGGAAGAAAAACCGCAAAAUGAUUUUUUCCCGAACGGAAGAAGAUCAGGGGCCCUUUGGGCCAAGCCAGGUGGGCUCGAGGGAGCCCACAAGCCCCCACUCCGCCACCAGGGGGGAGGCGGCGGUGGGCAGGCUUGUGGCCUCCCUGGCCGCCCCCUGACCUAGAUCUUUGGCCUAUAAAUUCCCAAAUAUUCCGCAAAAAAUCAGGGGAGCCUCGAAAA